RNAcentral lists this unclassified non-coding RNA (181 nucleotides) under uncultured fungus. RNAcentral describes it as "sequence contains ITS1, 5.8S rRNA gene". The record is from RNAcentral. Lineage: Eukaryota; Fungi.
CCGAGUGCGGGCCCUCUGGGUCCACCCUCCCACCCGUGUCUACCGUCCCUUGUUGCUUCGGCGGGCCCGCCCCCCGGGGCGGCCAGGGGGCCCUCGCGCCCCCGGGUCCCGCGCCCGCCGGAGACGUCCACGCGAACACUGUGAGAAGGUUGCCGUCUGAGUGGAUUUAUCCAAAUCGUUA